GACGAACGCUGGCGGCGUGCUUAACACAUGCAAGUCGUACGGUAAGGCCCUUUCGGGGGUACACGAGUGGCGAACGGGUGAGUAACACGUGAGUAACCUGCCCACAACUUUGGGAUAACGCUAGGAAACUGGUGCUAAUACUGGAUAUGUGCUCCUGCUGCAUGGGGGGGGUUGGAAAGCUCCGGCGGUUGUGGAUGGACUCGCGGCCUAUCAGCUUGUUGGUGGGGUAGUGGCCUACCAAGGCGGCGACGGGUAGCCGGCCUGAGAGGGUGACCGGCCACAUUGGGACUGAGAUACGGCCCAGACUCCUACGGGAGGCAGCAGUGGGGAAUAUUGCACAAUGGGCGCAAGCCUGAUGCAGCAGCGCCGCGUGCGGUAUGACGGCCUUCGGGUUGUAAACCGCUUUCAGCAGGGACGAAGCUUUUUGUGACGGUACCUGCAGAAGAAGCACCGGCUAACUACGUG
RNAcentral lists this ribosomal RNA (465 nucleotides) under uncultured bacterium. RNAcentral describes it as "partial 16S ribosomal RNA". It matches the Rfam family "Bacterial small subunit ribosomal RNA", at positions 28 to 507 of the family's 1533-position model. The record is from RNAcentral.